ACCGCAAAGUUUUGCGCCCGAUGCCAUUAGGUUGAGGGCACGUCUGCCUGGGUGUCACAUAUCGAAGCCCCCUGCCAAUUUCCCUUUGAUUAUUGUGCAGGGUGGAUGUUGGCCUCCCGUGAGCUCUUUUGUCUCACGGUUGGUUGAAAAUUGAGACCUUGGUAGGGUGUGCCAUGAUAGAUGGUGGUUGUGUGACCCACGAGACCAAUCAUGCGCUGCUCUAUUGAAUUUGGCCUCUUUUACCCAUAUGCGUUUCUAAACGCUCGUGAUGAGACCUCAGGUCAGGCGGGGCUACCCGCUGAAUUUAAGCAUAUCAAUAAGCGGAGGAAAAGAAACUAACAAGGAUUCCCUUAGUAACGGCGAGCGAACCGGGAUAAGCCCACCAUGAGAAUCGGUCGCCCUCGGCGUUCGAAUUGUAGUCGAAAAAAACCCUCAAAUUGUC
RNAcentral lists this ribosomal RNA (442 nucleotides) under Vicia michauxii. Its description in RNAcentral is "eukaryotic LSU rRNA". The stretch from base 272 to 442 matches the Rfam family "Eukaryotic large subunit ribosomal RNA", at positions 1 to 171 of the family's 3401-position model. Lineage: Eukaryota; Viridiplantae; Streptophyta; Magnoliopsida; Fabales; Fabaceae. The record is from RNAcentral.